CAGCAGCCGCGGUAAUACGGAGGAUCCGAGCGUUAUCCGGAUUUAUUGGGUUUAAAGGGAGCGUAGAUGGAUGUUUAAGUCAGUUGUGAAAGUUUGCGGCUCAACCGUAAAAUUGCAGUUGAUACUGGAUGUCUUGAGUGCAGUUGAGGCAGGCGGAAUUCGUGGUGUAGCGGUGAAAUGCUUAGAUAUCACGAAGAACUCCGAUUGCGAAGGCAGCCUGCUAAGCUGCAACUGACGUUGAGGCUCGAAAGUGUGGGUAUCAAACAGGAUUAGAUACCCUGGUAGUCCGCACGGUAAACGAUGAAUACUCGCUGUUUGCGAUAUACGGCAAGCGGCCAAGCGAAAGCGUUAAGUAUUCCACCUGGGGAGU
This 370-nucleotide ribosomal RNA is filed under the name uncultured bacterium. RNAcentral describes it as "bacterial SSU rRNA". It matches the Rfam family "Bacterial small subunit ribosomal RNA", at positions 509 to 881 of the family's 1533-position model. The record is from RNAcentral.